GGAGCCGCUUUUAGAGGCGGGGCGGAGCCUUCCUCGACGGCGAGGCACCGCGGGGCGGAGUCUGUAGGGUCAGCUCCUCCCCGCCCCGCCCCGCCCCGCCCGGCUCUGCCCUCUCUCUGCAGGAUCUACUGGGGCUGUUUCUACUUUUUCCCCUGGCUUCGCAUGUGGCGGAGGGAGCGGAGCUCGGCGCACCCCGGGGAGCAGAAGCUGGAGCCUCUGCGAGGCCUGAUGAGCUGUCUGUCCAGCGGCCUGGGUCCUACUCCCCAGCGCUCGGGUCGUGGCUUCCCCCGCCGCAGCCCCACCGCCGCUGCCCAGCCAGCCAGUGCAUUAAAGAUUUAAACCGAAGCCCAC
RNAcentral lists this long non-coding RNA (351 nucleotides) under Homo sapiens (human). RNAcentral describes it as "non-protein coding lnc-CCL27-1:3". Lineage: Eukaryota; Metazoa; Chordata; Mammalia; Primates; Hominidae. The record is from RNAcentral.